Molecule: ribosomal RNA, 256 nt
Filed under: uncultured bacterium
Lineage: Bacteria
Description: partial 16S ribosomal RNA
Rfam family: Bacterial small subunit ribosomal RNA
Source: RNAcentral
UACGUAGGGCGCGAGCGUUGUCCGGAUUUAUUGGGCGUAAAGAGCUCGUAGGCGGCUUGUUGCGUCGACUGUGAAAACCCGCGGCUUAACUGCGGGCUUGCAGUUGAUACGGGCAGGCUAGAGUUCGGUAGGGGAGACUGGAAUUCCUGGUGUAGCGGUGAAAUGCGCAGAUAUCAAGGAGGAACACCGGUGGCGAAGGCGGUUCUCUGGGCCUUACCUGACGCUGGAGGAGCGAAAGCGUGGGGAGCGAACAGGA